Molecule: ribosomal RNA, 253 nt
Filed under: uncultured bacterium
Lineage: Bacteria
Description: partial 16S ribosomal RNA
Rfam family: Bacterial small subunit ribosomal RNA
Source: RNAcentral
UACGGGGGGGGCAAGCGUUGUUCGGAAUUACUGGGCGUAAAGGGUUCGUAGGUGGCCUGCUAAGUCACACGUGAAAUCCCUCAGCUUAACUGGGGAACUGCGUGUGACACUGGCGAGCUUGAGUGCAGGAGAGGAACGCGGAAUUCCAGGUGUAGCGGUGAAAUGCGUAGAUAUCUGGAGGAACACCGGUGGCGAAGGCGGCGUUCUGGACUGCAACUGACACUGAGGUGCGAAAGCGUGGGGAGCAAACAGG